RNAcentral lists this ribosomal RNA (467 nucleotides) under uncultured bacterium. RNAcentral's name for it is "partial 16S ribosomal RNA". It matches the Rfam family "Bacterial small subunit ribosomal RNA", at positions 28 to 506 of the family's 1533-position model. The record is from RNAcentral.
GACGAACGCUGGCGGCGUGCUUAACACAUGCAAGUCGAACGGAAAGGCCCUGCUUUUGUGGGGUGCUCGAGUGGCGAACGGGUGAGUAACACGUGAGUAACCUGCCCUUGACUUUGGGAUAACUUCAGGAAACUGGGGCUAAUACCGGAUAGGAGCUCCUGCUGCAUGGUGGGGGUUGGAAAGUUUCGGCGGUUGGGGAUGGACUCGCGGCUUAUCAGCUUGUUGGUGGGGUAGUGGCUUACCAAGGCUUUGACGGGUAGCCGGCCUGAGAGGGUGACCGGCAACAUUGGGACUGAGAUACGGCCCAGACUCCUACGGGAGGAAGAAGUGGGGAAUAUUGAACAAUGGGCGGAAGCCGGAUGCAGCAACGCGGGGUGCGGGAGGACGGCCUUCGGGUUGUAAACGGCUUUGGCCUGUGACGAAGCGUGAGUGACGGUAAUGGGUAAAGAAGCACCGGCUAACUACGU